AUGACGUCCUGGCCCAAUAGUAACAUGACCUUGGACGACGAUGACGAGCUCAUGAGCGAGUUCAGCAGCAUGCAGAUGGAGUAUUUCCAAACUCCUGACACUGUGAUAGACUCAAGCUUUUGUGGGCUUGUGACUGAAUCUGACAGAAUGUGCAUCCCGCACAGGCAGAGGGCAGGCAAGUUUGUGGCAUUUGAAGGCACUGACACUGGCAGGAGAUUCAUCGGAUCUGCUAUGAAAGAUGGUGUGCACUGUGGUGUUCUGGAGUGGGUAGAUUCCCCUAGCCUAUAA
This 288-nucleotide ribosomal RNA is filed under the name Triticum aestivum (bread wheat). RNAcentral's name for it is "partial small subunit ribosomal RNA". The record is from RNAcentral. Lineage: Eukaryota; Viridiplantae; Streptophyta; Magnoliopsida; Poales; Poaceae.